CAGCCGCCGCGGUAAUACCGGCGGCCCGAGUGGCGGUCACUAUUAUUUGGCUUAAAGCGUCCGUAGCCGGGUUGGGAAGUCCUCCGGGAAAUCUGGCCGCUUAACGGUCAGAAUGCCGGAGGAUACUCCCAGCCUAGGGAGCGGGAGAGGCCGAGGGUAUUCCCGGAGUAGGGGUGAAAUCCUAUAAUCCCGGGGGGACCACCUGGGGCGAAGGCGCUCGGCUGGAACGCGUCCGACGGUGAGGGACGAAGGCCAGGGGAGCAAACCGGAUUAGAUACCCGGGUAGUCCUGGCUGUAAACGAUGCGGACUUUGUGUCGGACAAGCUAUGAGCUUGUCCGGUGCCGGAGGGAAACCGUUAAGUCCGCCGCCUGGGGAGUACGGCCGCAAGGCUGAAACUUAAAGGAAUUGGCGGG
This 414-nucleotide ribosomal RNA is filed under the name uncultured microorganism. RNAcentral describes it as "bacterial SSU rRNA". It matches the Rfam family "Archaeal small subunit ribosomal RNA", at positions 459 to 872 of the family's 1478-position model. The record is from RNAcentral.